RNAcentral lists this ribosomal RNA (463 nucleotides) under uncultured bacterium. RNAcentral's name for it is "partial 16S ribosomal RNA". It matches the Rfam family "Bacterial small subunit ribosomal RNA", at positions 28 to 507 of the family's 1533-position model. The record is from RNAcentral.
GAUGAACGCUGACAGAAUGCUUAACACAUGCAAGUCUUUCGCGAAGCUGUGCUUGCACAGCCUAGCCAAGGCGGACGGGUGAGUAACGCGUCAGGAACUUGCCCUGCAGUCAGGGAUAACAGACGGAAACGACUGAUAAGACCUGGUAAAGUCAGGCGGACUCAUGUCCAGCCUGAUGAAAAGAGAUGCUGCAGGAGAGCCUUGCGUCCUAUUAGCUUGUUGGUGGGGUAACGGCCCACCAAGGCGAUGAUAGGUAGCCGGCCUGAGAGGGUGGACGGCCACAAGGGGACUGAGAGACGGCCGUUACUCCUACGGGAGGCAGCAGUGGGGAAUAUUGGACAAUGGGGGCAACCCUGAUCCAGGAAUUCUGUGUGCACGAUGAAGGUUUUCGGAUUGUAAAGUGCUUUCAGCAGGGAAGAAAAAAAUGACGGUACCUGCAGAAGAAGCGACGGCUAAAUACGUG